CCACCUACCUAAGGAUUAAAUGUCUUCACCAAUGCUGUUUGAGGACUGACGCUCAGAAAGAAGCUGGAAAUAUGAAGUAUAACUGCUGAUGCAUGAAGGGAAAUAUUUAACUUUAUCAGUCCAAACAAUCUGGCCUUGAAUUAUUUAAUGCAACCAAAGAUUUAAAGAACAGAAAAUGAUCUUUUUUCUUUGCAUUGCUUUCACCAACAUUCUGGUUUCAGGUUCUUCUCUCAGUGACAAAAUCCGACAGAAACCAGCAGAAAUGUAUAAAACACUUGAAAGAAAUGCCAAGAUUAAUUGUUCCCAUAAUGAUGAUAGCUAUGACCAAAUUCUCUGGUACAAGCAAACAAAAACAGACCUACAGCUCCUUGGAUACUGUUAUGUAGGCUCUGAAAGCAUAGAGAAAGGGGUAAAUGUGAACAUCAAAGGAGCUGCAAAUAAAGGCGACACCUGCACAUUAACGAUUGAAGGACUCGAUCUGAGCAGCAGUGCAGUUUACUUCUGUGCUGCUAGAUUACACAGUGCUGCAUGUCUCUGCUCCUCAAUACAAAAACCUCAUCAGUAUUUCCCAUGUGUGUUUUACAGCUCAGAGAACCUUUCAUCUGACUUAUCUUCUGUCAUUAGAUGGCAGCACCUCACCUUUAUGUAAAGAGGAGGAUCCUCUAUGACACUACCCAUCUAAGGAUCACGUCUGUUCAUCAUUGCUGAUUGAGGACCGACUCAGAAAGAAGUUGGAAAUGAUUAAACUCCUUGUGCAAUAAGUGAAAAUAUUGAAUUAUACUGAUUCUAUUCUAUCUUUUCUGAUUAUUUUUAAUACAUUAAAACUUUUAGAGAGCAGAAAAUGAUCAUCUUUUUUCUUUGCAUUGCUUUUAACAUCCUGAUGGUUUCAGGUGCUUCAUACAGUGACAAAAUCCAACAGGAACCAGCAGAAAUGUGGAAAACAGUUCAAGAAGAUGCCACAAUUACCUGCUCACAUCAUAUUGAUAGCUACAACCGAAUUUCCUAGUACAAGCAAACAAACAGAGACCUGCAGCUCCUUGGAUACUUGUAUGCAGGCGGUGGAGUUUCAGAGAAAGGGGUAAAUGUGAAGAUCGAAGGAGCUGCAAAAAAAGGCGACACCUGCUCAUUAACGAUUGAAGGACUCAAUCUGAGCAGCAGUGCAGUUUACUUCUGUGCUGCU
This is a long non-coding RNA of Melanotaenia boesemani (Boeseman's rainbowfish), 1180 nucleotides long. RefSeq lists it as uncharacterized. The record is from RefSeq and is a predicted model, not a curated record. NCBI's taxonomy places the organism in Eukaryota, Metazoa, Chordata, Actinopteri, Atheriniformes, Melanotaeniidae. The transcript is spliced from 3 exons.